This 1071-nucleotide ribosomal RNA is filed under the name Cordyceps fumosorosea. Its description in RNAcentral is "SSU rRNA". It matches the Rfam family "Eukaryotic small subunit ribosomal RNA", at positions 42 to 1123 of the family's 1831-position model. Lineage: Eukaryota; Fungi; Ascomycota; Sordariomycetes; Hypocreales; Cordycipitaceae. The record is from RNAcentral.
AAUUAAGCCAUGCAUGUCUAAGUAUAAGCAAUUAUACAGCGAAACUGCGAAUGGCUCAUUAUAUAAGUUAUCGUUUAUUUGAUAGUACCUUACUACUUGGAUAACCGUGGUAAUUCUAGAGCUAAUACAUGCUAAAAAUCCCGACUUCGGAAGGGAUGUAUUUAUUAGAUUAAAAACCAAUGCCCUCUGGGCUCCUUGGUGAUUCAUGAUAACUCUUCGAAUCGCACGGCCUUGCGCCGGCGAUGGGUGUUCAUUCAAAUUUCUUCCCUAUCAACUUUUCGAUGUUUGGGUAUUGGCCAACAUGGGUUGCAACGGGUAACGGAGGGUUAAGGCUCGACCCCGAGAAAGGAGCCUGAGAAACGGCUUCUCAUUCCAAGGAAGGCAGCAGGCGCGCAAAUUACCCAAUCCCGAUUCGGGGAGGUAGUGACAAUAAAUACUGAUACAGGGCUCUUUGGGUCUUGUAAUGGGAAUGAGUACAAUUUAAAUCCUUAACGAGGAACAAUUGGAGGGCAAGUCUGGUGCCAGCAGCCGCGGUAAUUCCAGCUCCAAUAGCGUAUAUUAAAGUUGUUGUGGUUAAAAAGCUCGUAGUUGAACCUUGGGCCUGGCUGGCCGGUCCGCCUCACCGCGUGCACUGGUCCGGCCGGGCCUUUCCCUCUGUGGAACCCCAUGCCCUUCACUGGGCGUGGCGGGGAAACAGGACGUUUACUUUGAAAAAAUUAGAGUGCUCCAGGCAGGCCUAUGCUCGAAUACAUUAGCAUGGAAUAAUGAAAUAGGACGCGUGGUUCUAUUUUGUUGGUUUCUAGGACCGCCGUAAUGAUUAAUAGGGACAGUCGGGGGCAUCAGUAUUCAAUUGUCAGAGGUGAAAUUCUUGGAUUUAUUGAAGACUAACUACUGCGAAAGCAUUUGCCAAGGAUGUUUUCAUUAAUCAGGAACGAAAGUUAGGGGAUCGAAGACGAUCAGAUACCGUCGUAGUCUUAACCAUAAACUAUGCCGACUAGGGAUCGGACGAUGUUAUUUUUUGACGCGUUCGGCACCUUACGAGAAAUCAAAGUGCUUGGGCUCCAGGGGGAG